UAAUAUCAUAAAAUAUCAUAUAACAUAAUAUAUGGUAUAAUAUAAUAUUUAAGAAAUAAAAGUUAAAAGUACUUAAACCGUAAGUUUGCAAGUUCUUAUUAUUUUAAUAACUUGAUAAUGUAUUAGAAUGACUGCCCCAUCUGCACUUCUUCAGGCUGGUCAGUGUAACUCUGUUGUUGAGACUGAGACAGACGUUUCUGUAAAUCCCUGAUUGUGAAUUCAGUUUGACUUUUAAAUGAUCUAUGAAAGUUAACCAAAGAAAAUAGCGUCACAGCUAAAAACACGUGUCGGAGACACGGCCUAAACGGUGAAGGGGGGAGGGGGUAUACGUUAGGAGAGAUUUUAUAGCUACCAAGUUAAGACUGUAGCUCCUAUAGAUAAUGUUUCUUCUUCUUCAAACUUGAAAAUAUUUUUGUACAAAUGGUUCGAAUGAGACAAAGUCAUAUGUGUCGAGUUUGAUGUUUCAGGCAAUGAUUGCAAACAAAAUGAUUUUUUAAAGGAAUUGUUUUACAACGAAUCAACAACGAACGUCAAUCAAAUGUCAACCAAGUUUAUUUUUAAAUAAUUGAAUGUUAAAAACAAGAAGGUCAUUCACGUGUGGUUUGGUUGGAACGUAAUUAACGUUCGUUGACAAAAACAACAGACAAAAGAAUGAAUCCUGUCCUUAUCGCAGGAAGAGUGUGUGUAUGUGUGUGUGUGUGUGUGUGUGUGUGUGUGUGUGUGUGUGUGUGUGUGCUGUUUGGCAAAAAAAAAAUUCCACAAAAUCCCAUCUGGAAGUAAUUAAUGGACAAGUGAUUGGUGUACAAGGGCUAGGUUUAAAAGAGCUCAAAUAUUUGUUGAAGUGGCCCUCGUUCCUAAUUCUAUCUCCCAGGCUGUGGCCCUCAUUAUUUAGACCUGCCCACUACGGAGGGAACAAAACGAGUGAAAGCAGAUGCCCCCCUUUCCUCCUCUCUGCUCAAACAGCAUCAGGCUAAUGCUCAACGAGUUACUGUGAACAAAUAAAGACAUUAAUAAGGUAAUUUUAUUAGCGCGGCUUAUCUAGCCCCUCCCCUACGCAGGAAAUUAGUGGUUUCACUCGGUGGUAAUUAACGACUUUACAGGGCUUAAGAGCAAGUAGCAAAUUAACUGCCCCAAUACAAAACUCUCACAGAGGAAAAAAACACUGUAGUUUUUAUGUGUAAUCACAGGACAGGGAGAAAUAUACUGAGGGACAGACAGACAGACAGAUAAAGUGAGAUAGUGAGAAAGACAAGACAUAAAAAAGAGACAGAGAAACCAACUGUAAGAGACAGACAGGCAGUAGGAAAGAGAGAGAGAGAGAGAGAGAGAGAGAGAGAGUAAGAGUGAGACUGAGAGAUAGACAGACAGUGAAACAGGAGGACAAAGAGAGAGACACUGAGAAAGUCAGUGAGAGAGACAGACAGUAAGAGAGAGAUACAGAGGAAAACAGAUAGUGAGAAUACACCUUUAAUAAGGAGCCGAUGAUUUUGUCUUAAAAAGAGUGAUGGAAAGAAAGACAGACGAGAUAGAGAGUGAGAGAGAACAUACAUACAUACAGACAUCCAGAGAUGAGGGAUAUGUAGAGAGAGACAGACAAUUAGAAGAAAGAUAAUUAGGAAAACAGACAGUGUAGGAGACACACACGGACAGUUGAAUAACAACAAAAAUAGUGUAAUAAACCUCUCAAUAAGUAACGAGCUCGAUAAGUGAAACAAUAACAAGGCUUCAAACGUGUCAUGCUACAGUAGCUUUUGGUUCGGACACUUUUACACUUCCAGAAGAUAACUUUUCGUCGUCUUUUUUCGAAGUUUCAUCCCUUACCGGUUUGGAGGAAAGAGAAAAUUUCAUCUUCAGAGUUUUUUUUUUCCCCUUGAUUUGUCUUCUCUAAUUGGAGCUGAUGAGCAACUAAUUGGUGGCUUUUUUCCCCAUAGAGCAAGACAGCAUGAGCAAAGUUAAUGAGAGGCUUUGGAUGAAUAAGAGAGUGCUCUUCCAGGAGGACAGGGGGAUGGAGGAAAGUUGAGGAUAUCCCUUUGUUUCUGGCUUUCUCUCAACUUUCCCUUUUCUCUUGCGUGCAGGUAUCUGAAAAGCGAGUUGGGAGCACAGAGGUGAGCACUCGUCCACAUAAAGGAAUCCUUUAUCUAUUGUUUUUAGGGGUCCUCUUUUUUUGCGUGGUUAUGAGGAGCGAAUGAGAGACAGACACAGAGAGAGAGAGAGAGAGAGAGAGAGAGAGAGAGAGAGAGAGAAGCACACUCACUUGAAUGCACUUUAGUGAGGAUGAAUAGUGAGAAAAGGCUUCACACAGGACCGUGUUGGGCCACUUCUGCAUAAUGUUUCAAUACAUUCUCUCUCUCUCUCUCUCUCUCUCUCUCUCUCUCUCUCUCUCUCUCUCUCUCUCUCUCUCUCUCUCUCACACACACACACACACACACACACAGACACAUAUUCACAGGAGGUCCCUUGUGUGUAGAACAUUGUUAGGUUAAAACACACAGAGGAGCCCAAUGGUAUGAAAUAAAUCAAUAAGAACCCAUAAGAAACUAUACAUCAGAAAGUUUCUGACCUUCUGAAGGUCCAGCUGGGAAAUUCUUUUCACAUGUCCACAUGUCCAUAUACAAGAACAAAUAUUUUAAUAGGCUUCAAGUGGUGCAAAAAAAUAUUGGCCAUAAUUUACAAUUUGAAACCUGACUUGGGAGUCAAGAGUAUAAUUUUGGCUGUUCCAUCUGGGUGGGCGGGGCAUACUCUGUCUCUCCUGUCAAUCACACUGACAGGAGCCAAUCGUGUGUCUGUGAGGUCGUGUAUGUGGAAGAGGGCAAAUUGCAACGGUUGUGUCUGACGAAUGGAAACCGACAGGUAAAAACGGAGGGAAAAUCCCGAUUAGAACAACAAACUAAAUAAAUUAAAAAAAUGGUUGACGGACAUUCAGGAAGUUUUUUUUUCUACUGAAUUCUCUAAGAACAUAAUAAACCUUCCUACUUCACCAAGACGUAUCAUUGCGUUUUCAAUAUCGAAUGCAAAUAUUGUAAAUAUUGUUGAUUGUGUAUCAUCGAAGUGACGUAAAUACAGUAAGGAAAAACAAAAUGAUGUGAGACUCAGAUCAUCUUCAUGUAUUCUGUGGAAUGAUCUGAGAUCUCCUCCUUCUUUAUCUCGUUAUUCGGUGGUGUUAAGUAAACGGACGUCGCUUCGUAUGUGAACACGGAGAGACUUCCACGUGGGGAUUAAACCAGAAACCCACCGUGAGGUCAGACAAUGAGAAAAAAAGCAACAAAAACAUUUGUAAAAGAUUUACAUUUGAGGAGAAACCCUACACUCCUUGUACACCUCAUUUUCCUGAAAAUCUGCCACUCGCUUUAAAACUUCCUCUCGGUCUGUGGUCGUAUAAUUGGCUGGCCAAAUAUUUGCCCUGGCUAAUUUGUAGUGUUAUUCUCACACUAAGUAAUCCAUUAGCUCUCAACAGAGCGUAUUGUGUCCAAGCAGAAAGAAGCCAUUUGCAUCUUCUUUGUUAUUUAAAUGUCAUGUUUCCUCCUCGCUGUGAGACUUAACUUCUUAAUGAAUACCUGAUGAAACGAAAAGAAAGUAGACGGAAAAGGAAAAGGAAAAUACUGCGGGGGCAAAACUAUUGGCGCCUACAGAAAAUGUUACAUAUAUAUUUUUAUCAUUUGUAAAUCUUAAAUGUUUAUCUUCAUUAACCUAUUGUCGAACUGAAACGGAGUGCAUGUAGAGGCAACAAAUACACCGUCGUUUUACAUUUCAAAUGAUUCCCCAUUGUUGAGUCAGACCUUUGAGAGUCAGACCUUUGAGAGUCAGACCGUAUCCACCGUAGCCUCAGGUGUCUGUUCUUGGCUGAACACAUCACGGUCUUCUGCUGUGGAAGUUCAACACCUUAACAUUUAAAGUGUUCAGUAGUAAAGAGUGAUUAUUCAAGUUCUUGUAGCUUUCCUGUCCUCAGCACACGCUCCUUACAGAAUGAUGGAUGUCGAUCAUUUUGUGAGAUGUUUUAAAGAAUUGUUUUGAGUAUUAAGUCUAGUCUUGAGAUUCUUUACUGUUCAAAACGGCUGUAACGAGCGAUUAAAAAAAAACUUUCUCAUGUUCUGUAGUGUGUGUCGGUGGUUGUACUUUUGUCAAAUUAUUUGUCCUUUUUUUGAAAGGUGUCAAUUUUUUUUUUUUACACUACAGUUCAUUUUAGUCUCCUAGCCGGCUCGUUGCAGCUGGCCGAUGCCGAGUGACCUCGGCUCAUGGGUCAGAGGUCACACACUCUCUCUGGAGUGUCCCUCAUUAUCCAUUAUCCUCGAUCAGCAGGGGCGAUUGAAAGUGAGUGUUUGUGUCCUCGCCCCCCUUGACCCCUCCCCCUUUUCCCUCACCCACCCCACCGAGUGAGACGCCCCCGAGGGCCACCGUAAAGCCGAAGUCCUUCAUUCAGGAAGCUGUCAAUCUGUGGCCGAACAGCGGGGAUGGGGAUAAGACCAACCUGCGCUGCUUGUGUUGCAACACCGUGUGUUUGUGUUGGAACAGUGAAAGCAGCGAGUGAGCUAAAAGACACUAAUCCUGCGUCCCUUUACCACACCACAUUAACCUUGUCUCAUUUCCAUAGAGCGCUAAUUACAGGCUCGGACAAGUCACGUUAAUUACAGGCUCAGAACACCGGAUUAGGAGCGUGUCGAAUCCUGGAUAAAGGGUUGGAGUAACACGUUCUGACACAUUAUCUUCAUCGAGCUUUAUUUCUGCUCUACACUCACUCAUAUUCAGGAGAACACACAGCGAGUCUCCACUGAACAUCGACGGAUCAUCUAUAGAGAUCGUCAGUAGCAUCAAAUCUCUUGGUGUUCAUCUAGCGGAGAACUUCACCUGGUCCCCCGACCCUGGAGAAAUCACCACCGGUGUUGUUCACGUCUCGGUGGAAAACAAGGCUUCAGAUGAAUUCUGAUUUUAACAAGACUCACGGCUCAUUAGUGUGGGAUGGAGAUCAGCUGAGCGUGAAACGAUGUAGAGGAAGAAAAGAAAUGUGCAGAAAAUGGACGAGUGUUUUUACAGGGUUUUACUGUUCCAUGUUGAAAAUAAUCAGGGUUUCACUUUGGACCUUCGUGUCAACAUCGUCAGGAUGCUAACGAUUAAAACGAGUAGAAUAAACUUCUUUUAAAUGUUAUUUUUAAUAAGACAUAUAUUAAUUUUAAUUUUAUUUAAAUACUUACCUGAUUCAUUCAGACUAUUAGACAUCCGAAGUGCAUGAUGUUCGGUAGGCCGUAGAAGUACCACGGAUGUGUGAAUCAAUGAAUCAUCUAUGACGAAUCAUGAACCGAUUAAUGAGUCGAAUCAAACCAAAUUGUUCACCUUCCGUUGUGUGUCAGUAACAAAAGAUUCACCCCAGACUGUGAGAAUGAUAAAUAUGUACAUCUUUUAUGUUAAAAAAAUAGAAUUUCAUACAAAGAA
This is a long non-coding RNA of Tachysurus fulvidraco (yellow catfish), 5424 nucleotides long. RefSeq lists it as uncharacterized. NCBI's taxonomy places the organism in Eukaryota, Metazoa, Chordata, Actinopteri, Siluriformes, Bagridae. The record is from RefSeq and is a predicted model, not a curated record. The transcript is spliced from 3 exons.